Molecule: non-coding RNA, 822 nt
Organism: Delphinapterus leucas (beluga whale)
Lineage: Eukaryota; Metazoa; Chordata; Mammalia; Artiodactyla; Monodontidae
Source: RefSeq, a predicted model, not a curated record
CACACACAUCACUAGUUCAGUGUAAGUGUGGCUCACCUAUGCCUAAUUUGAGAAAGGAGCAAAUUCAUUCUCCCUUCAAUAAUCUCCCUCUAUCACCAUUAACCUUUGAGAUCCCUAAAUGCAAGCAGUUCACCUGCUGCUGCUUGGUUCUAUCUCCUUAGUUGUGGCACGCGGGCUCCUUAGCUGUGGCGUGUGAACUCUCAGUUGCAGCAUGCAUGUGGGAUCUAGUUCCCUGAGCAGGGAUCAAACCCGGGACCCCUGCAUUGGGAGUGUGGAGUCUUAACCACUGUUCCACCAGGGAAGUCCUGGUUCUAUCUCCUUAAGAACAAGCAAGGGGGGAAAAAUGUAAGAUCUGCCAGCUGAGAAAUAAAAAAUAUCUUCUCCAAAUCCCACUAAGGUGCCUUUCCCACCCAGAACUGAGUUUUCCCACUGCUAUAUAUCUCCUUGUAACUUAAUUAAAGAGCAAUCAGGGCCUGCCUGCCUACCCUCCAGCAUAAACAUCCUUGGAAAACGUCAAACACACCUGGAUAACUAAUUUUGUCCUGAGAACCUCUCAUGAGGGAGGGGAAGAUCUUGGCACCGCCUCUAGUGGAGCGAUGAGUGCAACACCACGGCACCUUGAUCAUGACUUUUUUGAGGGAGUGAUUCUUGUGGCCUCCUCUACUUCUUGCCGGAUCAGCACUGACUCAAGAAGUUGAUCUUAUCCACGUGGAAACAACUUAGAUGUCCAUCAACAGAUGAAUGGAUAAAGAAGACGUGGUUAAGAUAAAAAGGACAUAGAAGUCCCCAUGAGCCCCUACCCAGCUACAACUCCUCUAAUCC